Molecule: ribosomal RNA, 433 nt
Filed under: uncultured bacterium
Lineage: Bacteria
Description: partial 16S ribosomal RNA
Rfam family: Bacterial small subunit ribosomal RNA
Source: RNAcentral
AGCGAACGCUGGCGGCAUGCCUAACACAUGCAAGUCGAACGAGACCUUCGGGUCUAGUGGCGCACGGGUGCGUAACGCGUGGGAACCUGCCCUUAGGUUCGGAAUAACUCCCCGAAAGGGGUGCUAAUACCGGAUAAUGUCUUCGGACCAAAGAUUUAUCGCCUUUGGAUGGGCCCGCGUUGGAUUAGCUAGUUGGUAGGGUAAAAGCCUACCAAGGCGACGAUCCAUAGCUGGUCUGAGAGGAUGAUCAGCCACACUGGGACUGAGACACGGCCCAGACUCCUACGGGAGGCAGCAGUGGGGAAUAUUGGACAAUGGGCGAAAGCCUGAUCCAGCAAUGCCGCGUGAGUGAUGAAGGCCUUAGGGUUGUAAAGCUCUUUCACCCGGGAUGAUAAUGACAGUACCGGGAGAAUAAGCUCCGGCUAACUCCGUG